Molecule: long non-coding RNA, 1336 nt
Organism: Dreissena polymorpha
Lineage: Eukaryota; Metazoa; Mollusca; Bivalvia; Myida; Dreissenidae
Exons: 2
Source: RefSeq, a predicted model, not a curated record
GAGGUUACAAGCCGUGAGACUUUGUAGACAAGUAUCUCACUUAACAAAACAAACACUUUCAAAUUAAUAUUUUGAGCAUUGUACACUGAUAUAAUCAAUAUAUCUUACUUAAUAUAUUCGGAAGGUUGGAGGUAUAAAUAAAUCGCCUGGAUCAUAUGAACGUAAAAUCCUGACAGGCCCAUCGUUAUUUUACUGUCUCCACUGCAUCCGUCUAUUGAUAGCCGUGAAAGUGUUGACAUGAAAAUAUCGCACUUGGUUCGUGUGGCUUGGGUGGAGGAAGGUCAAAUAAUAAAGAUAUAAAUUAUCCAUUGCAUACAGGCCUUGGAUCGGGUAUACCAAACAUCGUUAUUGGAUAUAAAAUGAAACACAUCUUACGUGGCCUCUCUGAGCAGCACAAACGUGAUGACGUACAAUUACAAACUUUGAGGAAAAUUACCGCUAGUGUAGAUGAACCACAAUGCCCAAGUAUUUUUUGGUUGGGAUAGUCUUAGAAGACUAUAGACGUUUCUCCGGUUAUAGACUUUAAUAAAGCUUCCCUCUUCAAAAGUAUUUUUGGAUAACUUGGUUGUAAAUGCAAACGGUAUGCCCCCAUUUCAAGCGACGAUCAAUUAUCAAAAUGUUAAUCAGUAUGAUGUUAUCCUCAUAAAUUUGACAAAAUUACUAUAACUUUAAAGGCUACAUAAAUACCUGAGAUUUUUUAUUUGAGAUAUCUACAUUUGAUUAAUUCAAGCUGUUCGAAAAAAAUGUUUAUUAAAAUGAGCCUGCUUAAAAAAAACAUUUCUUAUCGUAAUAAUUUAACAUUCAAAACGAAUAAUUAUGUGACUUUUUUGUACUUAAUCUUUUAUUAGACCUUGUUUAAAAUUCUUAUGAAAGUAUUGCUAAUUUUGUGUAAUGUAAUUAAUUAAUUCUAGUAAUACUUCAUUUACAUAGCGAGGAUAGCUAUAUUUGUAUUAAUACAUUAAGGUUAGUUCUCAUUCUUAUUUAUUUUUCAGUAAAACAAAAUAAUAUUUAUAAAAAAUAACUAGUAAAUGCUUUUUAAGUGAGGAUUAAUAUCAUAGAUAGUUGAUAUAUGUAUAAUAAUUAAGUGGUCGUUUCUACCAUUAAACGAUGAACACGUUGGUAUUAAACGUAUUUUUAAACAUGAUAAUGAACAAUUAAAAAACAUCUACGUUAUACAGGAAACUUAUCGAUUUUUGCGAUGGAAAAGUUCUGCAAAUAGUAACAUUAUACGAACACACCCAACUCACAAUUGUUUGCUGUAUCUGUAAACUAUAAUAUUUCGCUAUUCCACGUAAACCAUGUACCAGACAUAUCGAAAUAAACGUUCUCUCAAAUU